Molecule: transfer RNA, 70 nt
Filed under: Carrikerella sp.
Lineage: Eukaryota; Metazoa; Arthropoda; Insecta; Mantodea; Thespidae
Description: tRNA-Gln
Source: RNAcentral
UACAUUUUGGUGUAAGAUGCACAAGAAUUUUUGAUAUUUUAGGAUUAUAGUUUAAUUCUGUAAGAUGUAA